GCCUCUUUGGCCAAGUGGUAAGGCAUCGCACUCGUAAUGCGGGGAUCGUGGNGUUCAAUUCCCACAGGAGGCA
This 73-nucleotide transfer RNA is filed under the name Zygosaccharomyces bailii CLIB 213. Its description in RNAcentral is "tRNA-Thr (CGT) (tRNA-Thr-CGT-1-1)". It matches the Rfam family "tRNA". From Rfam's summary of the family: Transfer RNA (tRNA) molecules are approximately 80 nucleotides in length. Their secondary structure includes four short double-helical elements and three loops (D, anti-codon, and T loops). The record is from RNAcentral. Lineage: Eukaryota; Fungi; Ascomycota; Saccharomycetes; Saccharomycetales; Saccharomycetaceae.